GGCGAACGCUGGCGGCGUGCCUAAUACAUGCAAGUAGAACGCACAGUUUAUACCGUAGCUUGCUACACCAUAGACUGUGAGUUGCGAACGGGUGAGUAACGCGUAGGUAACCUGCCUGGUAGCGGGGGAUAACUAUUGGAAACGAUAGCUAAUACCGCAUAAUAUUAAUUAUUGCAUGAUAAUUAAUUGAAAGGUGCAAUUGCACCACUACCAGAUGGACCUGCGUUGUAUUAGCUAGUAGGUGAGGUAACGGCUCACCUAGGCGACGAUACAUAGCCGACCUGAGAGGGUGAUCGGCCACACUGGGACUGAGACACGGCCCAGACUCCUACGGGAGGCAGCAGUAGGGAAUCUUCGGCAAUGGACGAAAGUCUGACCGAGCAACGCCGCGUGAGUGAAGAAGGUUUUCGGAUCGUAAAGCUCUGUUGUAAGAGAAGGACGGGUGUGAGAGUGGAAAGUUCACACUGUGACGGUAUCUUACCAGAAAGGGACGGCUAACUACGUG
This 505-nucleotide ribosomal RNA is filed under the name uncultured bacterium. Its description in RNAcentral is "partial 16S ribosomal RNA". It matches the Rfam family "Bacterial small subunit ribosomal RNA", at positions 28 to 507 of the family's 1533-position model. The record is from RNAcentral.